GGAUGCUGACGAGUGGCGAACGGGUGAGUAAUACAUCGGAACGUGCCCGAUCGUGGGGGAUAACGGAGCGAAAGCUUUGCUAAUACCGCAUACGAUCUACGGAUGAAAGCAGGGGACCGCAAGGCCUUGCGCGGACGGAGCGGCCGAUGGCAGAUUAGGUAGUUGGUGGGAUAAAAGCUUACCAAGCCGACGAUCUGUAGCUGGUCUGAGAGGACGACCAGCCACACUGGGACUGAGACACGGCCCAGACUCCUACGGGAGGCAGCAGUGGGGAAUUUUGGACAAUGGGCGAAAGCCUGAUCCAGCCAUGCCGCGUGCAGGAUGAAGGCCUUCGGGUUGUAAACUGCUUUUGUACGGAACGAAAAGCCUCUUUCUAAUAAAGGGAGGUCAUGACGGUACCGUAAGAAUAAGCACCGGCUAACUACGUGCCAGCAGCCGCGGUAAUACGUAGGGUGCAAGCGUUAAUCGGAAUUACUGGGCGUAAAGCGUGCGCAGGCGGUGAUGUAAGACAGAUGUGAAAUCCCCGGGCUCAACCUGGGAACUGCAUUUGUGACUGCAUCGCUGGAGUGCGGCAGAGGGGGAUGGAAUUCCGCGUGUAGCAGUGAAAUGCGUAGAUAUGCGGAGGAACACCGAUGGCGAAGGCAAUCCCCUGGGCCUGCACUGACGCUCAUGCACGAAAGCGUG
This 684-nucleotide ribosomal RNA is filed under the name Acidovorax sp. RNAcentral's name for it is "bacterial SSU rRNA". It matches the Rfam family "Bacterial small subunit ribosomal RNA", at positions 83 to 763 of the family's 1533-position model. The record is from RNAcentral. Lineage: Bacteria; Pseudomonadati; Pseudomonadota; Betaproteobacteria; Burkholderiales; Comamonadaceae.